RNAcentral lists this long non-coding RNA (429 nucleotides) under Monodelphis domestica (gray short-tailed opossum). Its description in RNAcentral is "lncRNA (ENSMODG00000038645.1)". The record is from RNAcentral. Lineage: Eukaryota; Metazoa; Chordata; Mammalia; Didelphimorphia; Didelphidae.
AUGUUUUUAGGGAUGGUCACCCAGAAUUCAACCUGUUGUAAAAUUAAAGAAGAAAAUACAGGGCAGAGGAUAAAAUCUCACCCGAAAAGGAACUGGCAGAACUCUCCAUCCUGGGACUCUAGAGCAAACAGACCUGUGUCCAGGGAUCCCUGCACAAUCACAGGCUGGCAAGGGAAUUGGGUAACCAGGGAGCACGUGCUCCAGGGCAAAGCUUCACAAACACUGUUGGCAGAGCUGUCUGGAAGAUGGAGUCAGAUCUGACUAGAGCUGAAGGGAAUUAUGAAACUUAAAAAUAGGCCAAAAAGAAGACAUCAGAAUUGAAGAACUUGAGAGCUGGGCUUUGAUUUUGUUUGACUUUUCUUUCCUUUCUUAGGUGACAGGAUGCUCUUAAGAGUUUCACAUUUCCAGGUCAAUUAAAAAAAAUGUAAC